RNAcentral lists this transfer RNA (72 nucleotides) under Pleuronectes platessa (European plaice). It matches the Rfam family "tRNA". Rfam says of the family: Transfer RNA (tRNA) molecules are approximately 80 nucleotides in length. Their secondary structure includes four short double-helical elements and three loops (D, anti-codon, and T loops). Further hydrogen bonds mediate the characteristic L-shaped molecular structure. tRNAs have two regions of fundamental functional importance: the anti-codon, which is responsible for specific mRNA codon recognition, and the 3' end, to which the tRNAs corresponding amino acid is attached (by aminoacyl-tRNA synthetases). tRNAs cope with the degeneracy of the genetic code in two manners: having more than one tRNA (with a specific anti-codon) for a particular amino acid; and 'wobble' base-pairing, i.e. permitting non-standard base-pairing at the 3rd anti-codon position. The record is from Rfam by way of RNAcentral. Lineage: Eukaryota; Metazoa; Chordata; Actinopteri; Pleuronectiformes; Pleuronectidae.
GGGGAUGUAGCUCAGUGGGAGAGCACAUGCUUCGCAUGUAUGAGGUCCUGUGAUCAAUCCCCAGCAUCUCCA